UUUAAUUCGAUGAUACGCGAGGAACCUUACCUGGGCUUAAAUGCAUAAUGACAGACUGGGAAACCAGUCCUUCUUCGGACAGAAUGCAAGGUGCUGCAUGGUUGUCGUCAGCUCGUGCUGUGAGGUGUCGGGUUAAGUCCCAUAACGAGCGCAACCCCUAUUCUUAGUUGCCAGCGGAUAAUGCCGGGGACUCUAAGGAAACUGCCCGCGCAAGCGGUGAGGAAGGUGGGGAUGACGUCAAAUCAUCACGGCCCUUACGUCUUGGGCCACACACGUAAUACAAUGGCCGGUACAGAGGGCAGCUACACAGCGAUGUGAUGCAAAUCUCGAAAGCCGGUCUCAGUUCGGAUUGGAGU
This 356-nucleotide ribosomal RNA is filed under the name Thalassiosira minuscula. RNAcentral describes it as "partial Bacterial small subunit ribosomal RNA". It matches the Rfam family "Bacterial small subunit ribosomal RNA", at positions 945 to 1304 of the family's 1533-position model. Lineage: Eukaryota; Bacillariophyta; Thalassiosirophyceae; Thalassiosirales; Thalassiosiraceae. The record is from RNAcentral.